GCGCCCCGAGCGCCGCGCGGGGAGGGUGCGGAGCGGCCCCGCGCCGUUAGCGCACCCGGGGGCCCUCGAGCACCGCGGAGGCCAGGCGCCGGCUGCAGAGCUUUCACCUCCAGGGCAAAGUAAAACAGUGCACAUCUCUCUUUACAUCUUUCUUGGUGGACGAGGUCACUCCCGCAGAUCCAGGCCGGGUUUAGGCACCGACCAGGUGGAGUUCACGGUAGUAUCUUUCAGCAGUGACCUUCACAGAGCACAGAGCCCCUUCCUCUCCUGCUACUUGUUCAGGAGUCUCGGUAUAAUUAGAAGCUGAGCAGAAAAUCCUGAUUGUUCUUAGAGGUAUGUAUGUAUGUGAAUAUUCACAUAUAAAUAUGUUAAAAGCUACUUAAAGCUCUGAAUGUUAUAUUAAUUUAUAAUAUAAGAUGCCCUUCUCCACCCCUAAUUCUUGCUUUGCCUUUCUUAUUAUAAGUAAAAAGGAGAAUUAAGGAGAAUGUACCC
This 492-nucleotide long non-coding RNA is filed under the name Dasypus novemcinctus (nine-banded armadillo). Its description in RNAcentral is "lncRNA (ENSDNOG00000051478.1)". The record is from RNAcentral. Lineage: Eukaryota; Metazoa; Chordata; Mammalia; Cingulata; Dasypodidae.